Molecule: ribosomal RNA, 786 nt
Filed under: uncultured crenarchaeote
Lineage: Archaea; Thermoproteati; Thermoproteota
Description: bacterial SSU rRNA
Rfam family: Archaeal small subunit ribosomal RNA
Source: RNAcentral
CAUGCGAGUCAUUGUAGUAAUACAAGGCAGACGGCUCAGUAACGCGUAGUCAAUCUAACCUAUGGACGGGAAUAACCUCGGGAAACUGAGUAUACUGCCCGAUAGAACAUUAUGCCUGGAAUGGUUUAUGUUCCAAAUGAUUUAUCGCCGUAGGAUGGGACUGCGGCCUAUCAGUUUGUUGGUGAGGUAAUGGCCCACCAAGACUAUUACAGGUACGGGCUCUGAGAGGAGUGGCCCGGAGAUGGGUACUGAGACACGGACCCAGGCCCUAUGGGGCGCAGCAGGCGAGAAAACUUUGCAAUGUGCGAAAGCACGACAAGGUUAAUCCGAGUGGUUUCUGCUAAAGGAACCUUUUGUCGGUCCUAGAAACACCGAUGAAUAAGGGGUGGGCAAGUUCUGGUGUCAGCCGCCGCGGUAAAACCAGCACCUCAGGUGGUCAGGAUGAUUAUUGGGCCUAAAGCAUCCGUACCCGGCUUUGUUAGUUUUCGGUUGUAUCUGUACGCUCAACGUACAGGCUGCCGGGUAUACUGCAGAGCUAGGGAGUGAGAGAGGUAGACGGUACUCUGUAGGAAGGGAUUUAUUCCUUGAUCUAUGAUGACUACGUGUGGCGAGGCUGUCUACACAUCACGUCCGACGGUGAGGAUGAAGCUGACGCAGCAAACAGUAUAGAUACGCGGCUAGUCCGAGCUGUAACUAUGCAACUCAGUGAUGCAUUCGUCUUGUGAGCAAUGCAGUGCUGCAGGGAGUCGUUAAGUUUGCGCUGAAGUACGUACGCAGUAUGAAACU